Molecule: ribosomal RNA, 497 nt
Filed under: uncultured bacterium
Lineage: Bacteria
Description: partial 16S ribosomal RNA
Rfam family: Bacterial small subunit ribosomal RNA
Source: RNAcentral
GAUGAACGCUGGCGGCGUGCCUAAUACAUGCAAGUCGAGCGAACAGACGAGGAGCUUGCUCCUCUGACGUUAGCGGCGGACGGGUGAGUAACACGUGGAUAACCUACCUAUAAGACUGGGAUAACUUCGGGAAACCGGAGCUAACACCGGAUAAUAUAUUGAACCGCAUGGUUCAAUAGUGAAAGACGGUUUUGCUGUCACUUAUAGAUGGAUCCGCGCCGCAUUAGCUAGUUGGUAAGGUAACGGCUUACCAAGGCAACGAUGCGUAGCCGACCUGAGAGGGUGAUCGGCCACACUGGAACUGAGACACGUUCCAGACUCCUACGGGAGGCAGCAGUAGGGAAUCUUCCGCAAUGGGCGAAAGCCUGACGGAGCAACGCCGCGUGAGUGAUGAAGGUCUUCGGAUCGUAAAACUCUGUUAUUAGGGAAGAACAAAUGUGUAAGUAACUAUGCACGUCUUGACGGUACCUAAUCAGAAAGCCACGGCUAACUACGUG